CAGUCAGCUCCUGGUCUUGUUUUUGCUGACUAUGUGAACAAUGCAAAGAAAUAGAGGAAAACAACAGAAUGGGAAAGACUAGAGAUCUCUUCAAGAAAACUUGAGAGAUCAAGGGAACACUGCAUGUCAUAAUGGGCAUGAUAAAGAACAGAAAUGGUAAGGACCUAACAGAAGCAGAAGAGAUUAGGAAAAGGUGUCAAGAAUACCCAG
Long non-coding RNA from Cervus elaphus (red deer), 210 nucleotides. RefSeq lists it as uncharacterized. NCBI's taxonomy places the organism in Eukaryota, Metazoa, Chordata, Mammalia, Artiodactyla, Cervidae. The transcript is spliced from 3 exons. The record is from RefSeq and is a predicted model, not a curated record.